This 528-nucleotide unclassified non-coding RNA is filed under the name Hevea brasiliensis (rubber tree). Lineage: Eukaryota; Viridiplantae; Streptophyta; Magnoliopsida; Malpighiales; Euphorbiaceae. The record is from RNAcentral.
CCACACCAUCCAUGAUCAGCAGGCAAUAGUUUGAGAAAUGCUUGUAGUUUGCAACUACAAUAUUAGAUUUCAACCCCUAAAAAACCCAAGAAAACCCCAGAUUCGACAAUGUAUUGGAGACCGCCCAGAAGAGACAAGACUGGUAAUUUUUGCUCUAGUAGAGCUUUUCUUUAUUUUUUUUUUUUUUAUUUUAGAAUCGGUAGCCUCGGCUAGUGAUAAAACAUCCUUCCAACAUUAACUGCAAGUAAUCUUAAUAGUUCUUUAAGCCACUAUCAUCAAACACAUUUUGCCAGGGAAGUUGAUUUAUGAAGAUGCCACCACCGGAAAUUGCAUGAUCACUUAACCCUCAAAAAUCGACAAGCAAGGCAUAAUAAUGCGUCUGCUAACCCAUCAUCCCAUGCUUAACGAACAAACUCAACUCAUUACCCAAUACCAGCAGAAACCCCGCAACAUUAAUCACAGUCAAAGUUCUCCAACAAAAAAUAAAUAAAUAAUUCCUCUAACCCCAACUCCAUGUGUGCAAUUAAA